CCUACGGGAGGCAGCAGUGAGGAAUAUUGGUCAAUGGACGUGAGUCUGAACCAGCCAAGUAGCGUGAAGGAAGACUGCCCUAUGGGUUGUAAACCUCUUUUAUGCGGGAAUAAAGUUUUCCACGUGUGGAUGUUUGCAGGUACCGCAUGAAUAAGGACCGGCUAAUUCCGUGCCAGCAGCCGCGGUAAUACGGAGGGUCCGGGCGUUAUCCGGAUUUAUUGGGUUUAAAGGGAGCGUAGGCCGGUCUUUAAGAGUGUCGUGAAAGUUUGUGGCUCAACCAUGAGAUUGCGGCGGGAACUGGAGAUGUUGAGUGCGGGGAAGGUAGGCGGAAUUCGUGGUGUAGCGGUGAAAUGCUUAGAUAUCACGAAGAACUCCGAUUGCGAAGGCAGCUCGCUGAAGUGUUACUGACGCUGAAGCUCGAAAGUGUGGGUAUCGAACAGGAUUAGAUACCCCGGUAGUC
This 460-nucleotide ribosomal RNA is filed under the name uncultured bacterium. RNAcentral describes it as "partial 16S ribosomal RNA". It matches the Rfam family "Bacterial small subunit ribosomal RNA", at positions 338 to 795 of the family's 1533-position model. The record is from RNAcentral.